GUGAUUCUAGUUUCAUGUCACUAGCACAGCAGGCAUUGACUAUGCAGAUAUUAAGAAAUACUUAAUAUAAAAUGUAGUCAGUAUGUGAAGUGUGAUCAGAAUCAGAAGAAAAUAGUAAAUGUUGAGCCAGAUUUAGGAAGACACAGUAUAAACAGUGGACCAUAAAUGGCUACAGUCCAUAUCAAAUAAAGUUAGUAGGGAUGUGCUUUGGAGAGAAUGAAGUGAAUUCAGUAUGAUGGAGCACAGACUAUAUGGUCAAAUCAGCCUAGAUUUAAACCGGGCUCCUAUUCCCUAUCAUCUGCAUUAUCUUGGGUUUGUGAGUCAACUUUAUGGGUCUAUUGGGAGCAGCAGUUCUUCCUGGCCCCUGGAUGUACUGAUUCCGGUGCAGUCCUCUGACCAUAUUGGGAAGGAUAUGUAAAAUGAUACGAGUUUCAGGGAAUAAGAAUGGGGGUGAGAGGAAUCACUGAGGAUGCCCAAGGACAAAGCAGCCGGAACAAGGAGCUGCUUUGCUUUAAUCGUGUGUUGAGGAAAACAAUCAGACAUCACAAGCGGGAACAAGAAUGGAAGAACAGAGUAAGGACAGAGUGAGAAAACAGCCAUCUGGAAGCUAUGAAGAGAACCCUCACCAGAACCCCAACAUGCUGGCACCCUGAUCUUGGACUUUCAGCUGCCAGAAGUGUGAGAAAAUAAAUUUCUGUUGUUUAAGCCACCCAGUCUAUGCAAUAUUGUUAUGAUCCGAGA
Molecule: long non-coding RNA, 741 nt
Filed under: Homo sapiens (human)
Lineage: Eukaryota; Metazoa; Chordata; Mammalia; Primates; Hominidae
Description: HSALNT0142824
Source: RNAcentral